AAAACUUUCAACAACGGAUCUCUUGGUUCUCGCAUCGAUGAAGAACGUAGCGAAUUGCGAUAAGUAAUGUGAAUUGCAGAUACUCGUGAAUCAUUGAAUUUUUGAACGCACAUUGCGCCCUUGAGCAUUCUCAGGGGCAUGCCUGUUUGAGCGUCAUUU
Molecule: ribosomal RNA, 159 nt
Filed under: uncultured eukaryote
Lineage: Eukaryota
Description: 5.8S ribosomal RNA
Rfam family: 5.8S ribosomal RNA
About the family: 5.8S ribosomal RNA (5.8S rRNA) is a component of the large subunit of the eukaryotic ribosome.
Source: RNAcentral